UUCUGUAUAUUCAUUUCUCUUACUCCCUCAUUCUCUUCCAUUUGUCUUUGAAUACUUUGUGCUAAAGCUCGUCCCGUUUUAUUUUUCCCUUCAUAUAUAAACUGGUUUCUGGAGACCCAAAUCGACCAUAAAGCAUAACAAAAAAGUCGACACUGAGCAUCAUUUCCUUUCUUAAAAACCCAGGGCACUCUCGGAAUACAUGGAGACUUUCUUCGAACCAAGAUCGACAGCAAGGAUAUUCAUCAUCAGUAAUGACUUUCCUGCAUCUGAGAUUAACAAAAUUGGGAAUAUAGUCCCAGGAGAUUCUCUAGAUAGUCAUUGUAAUUUUUGGGGGAAUUUGUAAACCCAUAAUUUCCUAUAAAAUUCCUUAUAUUCGGUCUGUAAUAAAUAAUCAGUAGGAUUUAGAGUAUCCUCUUGUAAUAGUUUAUAGGUGCUACGUACAGAAAAUUCGCCAGAUAAUUCUCCCUUCCAGACUUGGAUGUCUUCAUGCUCUAUCUCAACUAACGGCAUCUGUAAAAUUUUCUGAACUGUUUUCGCUUGAAAGUCCUCCCAAAUAGAGAUUUUGUCUCCCCUACCUACUCUCUAGCACAAUCCUUUUUGGAGUAGACUUUUUGCUGCCCAAAUACUCCGCCAGGUGAGUGAAGGUUUGAUUACCAGAAUAACACAAGCACCACUUUUCCCAGACUUCAGAACAAGAAAAACCAGAAGCGUAUAGAUCAAUUGAUAAAACAAAACACAGACGAAACAAGAAAAA
Molecule: long non-coding RNA, 754 nt
Organism: Gossypium raimondii (Peruvian cotton)
Lineage: Eukaryota; Viridiplantae; Streptophyta; Magnoliopsida; Malvales; Malvaceae
Exons: 4
Source: RefSeq, a predicted model, not a curated record